AGCGAACGCUGGCGGCAGGCUUAACACAUGCAAGUCGAGCGGGCACCUUCGGGUGUCAGCGGCAGACGGGUGAGUAACACGUGGGAACGUACCCUUCGGUUCGGAAUAACGCUGGGAAACUAGCGCUAAUACCGGAUACGCCCUUAUGGGGAAAGGUUUACUGCCGAAGGAUCGGCGCGCGUCUGAUUAGCUAGUUGGUGGGGUAACGGCCUACCAAGGCGACGAUCAGUAGCUGGUCUGAGAGGCUGAUCAGCCACACUGGGACUGAGACACGGCCCAGACUCCUACGGGAGGCAGCAGUGGGGAAUAUUGGGCAAUGGGCGCAAGCCUGAUCCAGCCAUGCCGCGUGAGUGAUGAAGGCCUUAGGGUUGUAAAGCUCUUUUGUCCGGGACGAUAAUGACGGUACCGGAAGAAUAAGCCCCGGCUAACUUCGUG
Molecule: ribosomal RNA, 435 nt
Filed under: uncultured bacterium
Lineage: Bacteria
Description: partial 16S ribosomal RNA
Rfam family: Bacterial small subunit ribosomal RNA
Source: RNAcentral